UAAACGAUGUCGACUUGGAGGCUGUUCCCUGAGGAGUGGCUUCCGGAGCUAACGCGUUAAGUCGACGCUGGGGAGUACGGCCGCAAGGUUAAAACUCAAAUGAAUUGACGGGGGCCCGCACAAGCGGUGGAGCAUGUGGUUUAAUUCGAUGCAACGCGAAGAACCUUACCUACUCUUGACAUCCAGAGAAUUUGGCAGAGAUGCCUUAGUGCCUUCGGGAACUCUGAGACAGGUGCUGCAUGGCUGUCGUCAGCUCGUGUUGCGAAAUGUUGGGUUAAGUCCCGCAACGAGCGCAACCCUUAUCCUUUGUUGCCAGCACGUAAUGGUGGGAACUCAAAGGAGACUGCCGGUGAUAAACCGGAGGAAGGUGGGGAUGACGUCAAGUCAUCAUGGCCCUUACGAGUAGGGCUACACACGUGCUACAAUGGCGCAUACAAAGAGAAGCGACCUCGCGAGAGCAAGCGGACCUCAUAAAGUGCGUCGUAGUCCGGAUUGGAGUCUGCAACUCGACUCCAUGAAGUCGGAAUCGCUAGUAAUCGUAAAUCAGAAUGUUACGGUGAAUACGUUCCCGGGCCUUGUACACACCGCCCGUCACACCAUGGGAGUGGGUUGCAAAAGAAGUAGAUAGCUUAACCUUCGGGAGGGCGUUUACCACUUUGUGAUUCAUGACUGGGGUGAAGUCGUAACAAGGUAACCA
RNAcentral lists this ribosomal RNA (697 nucleotides) under uncultured Pantoea sp. Its description in RNAcentral is "bacterial SSU rRNA". It matches the Rfam family "Bacterial small subunit ribosomal RNA", at positions 803 to 1502 of the family's 1533-position model. The record is from RNAcentral. Lineage: Bacteria; Pseudomonadati; Pseudomonadota; Gammaproteobacteria; Enterobacterales; Erwiniaceae.